This 513-nucleotide ribosomal RNA is filed under the name Baoris leechii. Its description in RNAcentral is "partial 16S ribosomal RNA". The stretch from base 387 to 513 matches the Rfam family "Bacterial large subunit ribosomal RNA", at positions 2473 to 2600 of the family's 2925-position model. Lineage: Eukaryota; Metazoa; Arthropoda; Insecta; Lepidoptera; Hesperiidae. The record is from RNAcentral.
GUCUUUUUGUUAAUAAUUUAAAGUCGAAUCUGCCCACUGAUUAAUAAUUAAAGGGCUGCAGUAUAUUGACUGUACAAAGGUAGCAUAAUAAUUAGUCUUUUAAUUGAAGACUUGCAUGAAAGAUUUGAUGAGAUAUAAACUGUCUCUUUUUUAAAAUUAGAAUUUAAUUUUUUAGUAAAAAAGCUAAAAUUAUUUUAAAAGACGAGAAGACCCUAUAGAGUUUUAUAAUUAAAUUAAUUAAAAAUUUAUUUAAAAAUUAAAAAAUAAUUAAUUUUAAUUAUUUUAUUGGGGUGAUAAAAAAAUUAAAAUAACUUUUUUUUAAUUUAAACAUUAAUUGAUGAAUAAUUGAUCCAUUUUUUAUGAUUAUAAGAAAAAAUUACCUUAGGGAUAACAGCGUAAUUUUUUUUUUUAGUUCUUAUAAGAAAAAAAGUUUGCGACCUCGAUGUUGGAUUAAGAUAAAAUUUAAAUGCAGAAGUUUAAAAUUUUGAUCUGUUCGAUCAUUAAAAUCUUACA